Non-coding RNA from Mycena polygramma, 96 nucleotides. The record is from the annotation of a GenBank genome assembly. NCBI's taxonomy places the organism in Eukaryota, Fungi, Basidiomycota, Agaricomycetes, Agaricales, Mycenaceae.
GCUCUCGUAGAUCAACGGUAGAUCCUUCACUUACAGUAUUCUUCGACAAUACCUCUGUGUACGUGGAUGACGUGGGUUCGAAUCCCGCCGAGGGCU